RNAcentral lists this ribosomal RNA (238 nucleotides) under uncultured bacterium. RNAcentral's name for it is "partial 16S ribosomal RNA". It matches the Rfam family "Bacterial small subunit ribosomal RNA", at positions 95 to 334 of the family's 1533-position model. The record is from RNAcentral.
CCGGCGCACGGGUGAGUAACGCGUAUGCAACUUACCUAUCAGAGGGGAUAACCCGGCGAAAGUCGGACUAAUACCGCAUGAAGCAGGGAUCCCGCAUGGGAAUAUUUGCUAAAGAUUCAUCGCUGAUAGAUAGGCAUGCGUUCCAUUAGGCAGUUGGCGGGUAACGGCCCACCAAACCGACGAUGGAUAGGGGUUCUGAGAGGAAGGUCCCCCACAUUGGUACUGAGACACGGACCAA